UACGUAGGGGGCGAGCGUUGUCCGGAUUUAUUGGGUGUAAAGAGCGUGUAGGCGGUUUGGUAGGUCCGUUGUGAAAACUCGAGGCUCAACCUCGAGACGCCGAUGGAAACCAUCAGACUAGAGUCCGGAAGAGGAGAGUGGAAUUCCUGGUGUAGCGGUGAAAUGCGCAGAUAUCAGGAAGAACACCCGUGGCUAAGGCGGCUCUCUGGGACGGUACUGACGCUGAGACGCGAAAGCGUGGGGAGCGAACAGG
Molecule: ribosomal RNA, 253 nt
Filed under: uncultured bacterium
Lineage: Bacteria
Description: partial 16S ribosomal RNA
Rfam family: Bacterial small subunit ribosomal RNA
Source: RNAcentral